AUGUGGGAAUGUGGAAAAGAAGCCGGAAACGUCCGCGCGGUGAAACGCAGAGGCUGCCCGGGAAACGGCGAGAGCGAGCGAGAAACGAGCCUGAGGGCGGCGCGCAGCCGGCGAGUGGGGAGAAACAGACUCGCACCCGGGGGCCUCCGGGACUCAGGCCGGGUCCUGCCGGAAACGUGCGGCGGGGACGGCCUCGGUCGGCGCAGCGCCCCUGCGUCUCCCCCUGGGGGCGCGGGGCGGAGUGGGAGACCUGGGAGGCGGAGGAGAGGGGCCUUGCGAGCGAGGCCCGGGCGGGGAGGCCUGGCCUCCUGCUCAGUCUGUGCAAAUGGAAAAAGAGACGUUCCGUUUCUCUGGAAAACUCUGACUAAUACAGUAGAGGAUAUCCAGAUUGAAAAGUUCAGGAGAAAGUCUGACUUAGGCGUUGGAAGCUCAGAUUGGAAGAACCUCUUGAUAGAUAUCCCUCAGGAAAGACUACGAAAAUAGCCAAAAUAAUUCAAGGAGAAGAUGUAAAGCGAACUGUGAAGCAGGCCAAAAAUGA
Non-coding RNA from Saimiri boliviensis boliviensis (Bolivian squirrel monkey), 538 nucleotides. Lineage: Eukaryota; Metazoa; Chordata; Mammalia; Primates; Cebidae. The record is from RefSeq and is a predicted model, not a curated record.